CGACUGGGGGUUACCGCUAACCCACGCCUAUAACUCGUCGUAAUCUUGGAACUCCUGGAAGUCUCCUUCCACGACUUCAUCUUCUCCUGAGCAGUGGUUGCAAUGCUGACAACCUGGGGAUGGGGGGUUUGGUGUGUAGAGCAAGGGUGAGUACACAUCAACAUACUCAGCAAGUAUCCUGUUUGGCUGUAGUGGACUAGCUUUAUGUGGGGGUAAGUCAAGCAGUUGCUUUUAGUUGGUCAGAUUAUUAUUACUAGUAGAGAAAGCCAAGUUUUAGAUUUAACCCACGUUAUUAACCCAAACGUACUCCUUUCCAAACGGAAAGAGUACCACUUACCAUUACCAGAGUCAAUACCAAGAACCAUCAACCUCAUUGCCACCUGAAAUCCGAACAUCUCUGAUCAAGUAUAUCUAAUCAAUGGAGCACCCUUGGCCGCUCAUAACCGCGAGCACGGCUGAUAUAUCAGUUUCAUAACACUCUGCAGAGGUUGCGCACUUUACCCACAAGCCAUGAUUCCCUCUUGCCUCGGGCCGAUCAAACCCUUAAACACUACCAAGGUGAAUAGGCAGGGUCUCACUACGUAGCCUUUACAAAGAUUUCCUGGGGCUAUAGCCGCCCGUUAGGUUUCCUAAAUGCACCGCACUCCUCCCCAAGGGGCGAACCAACCUUGGCAGAGCGAGCCGCAUACACCGAGCCCCAUUAACGGCAUGACGACAAAGCGAACUACACCCCAGUUCCUCUAAUUACUCAGCUAAGGGCGUCCCACUCCACCCUCAUGGUUGCACUGUUUUCCCGGGCGUUCAUCCAACGAACAGGUCCUUACGAAGAGGCACUCGAGAAAUAGCUCGAGUCCCCUUAAAUGUCACAAGUAUAUCAUCAUAUCCAGAACAAAAUCAUAGUAUCAUCAUUGUAUCUCAUCAUGUUCAUUGAUUAAAGUAAAGCGCUAGCAUGAAGCUAACCAUAGUAACCCAAAAGGUAACCAAGGACAAGGUAAAUAAAAAGCUAGUCAAUCCUUAGGUUGAUCAUGGUAUGCGGGUUCAUGAAUUAUAAAGUAAAUGGGACAUAAUAGGUCAGAGGACACUUGCCUUCACCAAACAGAUGCUCAGGGUCUUCAACUUUGUAGAACUCGAAGAACUGGGUCAUUUGGUCGCCGAAGCUUGACCGUCGAUUCAUUGAAGCUCAGAAAUGGAUCGCACUCUAUUCGCGGCGCACAGCGAAUACAAACAACCACAAACAAACAACCAUAUAUAUGCAUAAGAACAUUACUCCAUUCAAGUAAAACAUAAUAAAAUACACAAAAUAAAAUAGAGUGUGUUACUACGGUCACACGAGGACAAAGAAACGCGACGGUCGAGGAUACGGUCAAGAGGUUAUCGCGUCCAUACUACACGAGUAUUAAUCAUAAUAUCUAAUUCGACAUUGUCAAAUAUAAAUAUUAUACAUCAGUUAGUUCGAUUAAUGUGUUAUACCAACAAUGUCAGUUAAUUAAGUAAUUUAAAUAAAAUGGGAGAUUCUAAGCGAGACGAAUUUAUGACGCGUCAAACAGCACGACAGCGUGCAAAUGACGCACGGACACGCGCGACAUAGCACGCUGAUGACACACGAAACAGCGCGCGCGACGAGCGCGAACGCGCACGAAUCAGCACGCGACCACGAACACAUCACGCACGAACAACGCGCAGACAUCACGUGCACGACGCGCGAAGCAGCAUGCCACCGUGCGCGGAACAGCACCCGCGACAGACAAGAAUAACUGAACAGGUGACAUGUUUAUACUAAACGAAUGUUAAAUAAAUAGAAAGUAGUUAAAUUAAUAUUAUCCAUGUUAAUAUUUAUUAUAAAAGCCCAAGUUGAACACUACACAUUUAAUCUAAUUAGAAUAUUAAUCUAAUAAAUAUUAAUCGAGUGAGCCUUAAGUUAAUUAUCUAACAUAUAUGACUUGACGAAUUAACCUUAUUAAUAUGAGUGUUUAUAAGCGAAAAACAAUUUAUUAUCACGCGCAGACGCCGCGCGACCCACGUGAUCGACACACGAGAUACACGUGAGCAACGCGUGGCGAGACGAGCGACACACGCGAAAGGCGCGUGACAAUGCGUGUGAACGGCACGCGACAACGCGUGCGAACAGCACGCGUGAAUGACGCACGAAUCAACACGUAACCAUGUGUGAAACCGUGCGCGAUACGCGAGAAAAACUACGUAGACGUCGCAUUUAUAUUAAACAAACAUUAGAGCAAAACAAUUGAUUUAAUACUAAUCAUAUCUACUAAUGCAUGAUUAGAAUUAUAAAUCAGACUCGAUGGAAUUAUUAUUUUAAUAACCAACAACUAAACAAUUAACUAAUUAUUUAACAUGAGCUCUAUGGCGAAAUGAUUUUAUUAAAGCGCGUGAAUAGCGACUCGCGCGAACGACGACACAUGAACAGCACGCGUGACAUACGCGAACAACGCGCGCGAAACACGAUGAAACUAAAUAGUCGUCACAUUUAUAUUAAACAAAUAUUAGGACAACACAUUUGAGUUACUAUUAAUUACGUCGACAUGGAUUUAUAAAGCAUAAGUUAACUACUAUAAAUUAGUUUAAUUGAAAAGUAUAAUUGACUAACGUUAGUUAAACAAAAAUAUAAUUAAUUAUUUAAAAUGCGUGACAUAGUGAAACAAAGUUACCAACGUGUAGACGAUGCUCACCUCGCAACGACAGCGGACGACCAGACUAGUCAACGGCGAGGCAUGAGAACGGCAAGAUUGCUGUUGCGCCGGGGCCACGCAGAGGACUAUAGAGUACAUGGCCACAGAAGGUCUUGCAGACCAAUGAGACACUGCCACAUGGCCACGUUUGGAGGGUAAGCAAUUCCAAACAUGCUACGUGCUGUACUGGUCACAUGAAAGAAAAACAAACGUGGGGCCUACCUUGGUUCCAUCUUCCUCAACACCUCGCAUGAGCGGUUGUUUUUCUCUCUCUCCUCUGUUCACGACGCUUGGAGAGAUGGCCGGCUGGGCAAGAAUACACGCACGCGUGGGGGCUGGGGGCUCCAGUGCUCCACGCGGUCUGCGUUGCAGGGAGCAGAGAGGAGCGAGACGAGGCGUGGUCGCUGGGGUGCUCGCCGGUGCAGGAGACUGCGCCUGGGGAGGGGCCGAUGCUGGGCGAAUCGUCGGCCAGCGCAGUGGCGCGCUCAGGCUUGCAGGGAGAAGAUGAAAAGGCCACAGCGGUAACACAACUCGGCAAGGGAGGCCAGGACACGGCCGGGGGUGCCGCGCUGCGCGCUGAGGAGGAGCGCGGGGAUGGGGCUGCAGGGGCAUGCUCGCCCAGCCAAGGCAGCCACGAGGAUGCAGCGCGGCACGACGAGGAGCAGCGCGGCACGGCUCCCUGCAUGGUGAUGCGCAGCGCUGGCGGCCGGAGCUGGGCGAGAACGGGCGAGGCGUGGUUGUGGGUGGUUCUGGCGGAGCUGGACGCGAGGGACGAGGCAACGAGAGUGCCAAUUCCUGUUUUGGGGCGACAUGGGCAAGGGAACUCGGACGGUUGGAGUCUGGAGAAGAAGACUUGCCCUAGGCAUGGCUCUGGCGCGCGGGCGCUCCCGACGGCUGGACGCGGCUGCGGCUGCUGUAGGAGGCGUGCUGAGGCACUAGGGUUUGGGGAAAUGAGCCGCGUGUGCUAGGUGGGCCGCGGGGAGGUGGCUGGGCGCGGGGGCAAGCCCGCAGCUGGAGCUAGGCCGCGUGCGAGGCAGGCCGCGGGGCUGAGGGAGGUUUUUCCCUUCUAUUAUUGUUCUUCAUUUUCUAUUUCUUCUCUUUUAUAUUUUCCUACUAUCAAAUUUAUUUACAAUGAAUGAGCUACAUAUUAAAUGGAUACACACCAAAGCAAAACAUCACACAAAAACAAAUAUAUUUCGGCAUGAUGCAUCAGUCAUUAUUCCCUUAGGGUUUUAUUAAUAGCUAGAUCUGGAGUAAAAUUUCCUAUAACUUGGAAAUAAAUAAAUAAAUAAAGGAGAGAAAAGAAAGAGGAACAAGAAAGUAACACCUGAAUUUGAUGGAUAUUAGAGAAAAAAAAUUUAUACCCGCAAAUUCAGGGUGUUACAGAUCUAACCCUCUUAAUAGGAAUCUCGCCCCCGAGAUUCAAGAAGAAGCUAGCAAGAAAACAAGGUUGGUUCAUUGGUUGUUCACACCUUUCUUGAGUUGACUUCUCUACAAGAUUAACUUGUGGACUGGUUGCUUUGGCCUUCAGAUGCUUGGGACCGAUUGAUGCAAUUCUUGAGGAUCUCUUGGACCUACGGGUUAGGACCCACACAUGCUUCCAUUGCGCCACUUGAUUCUUGUUGGUUGAUGUUGAUCGCAUUGUCUUCAUUAGGGUUAGCAGCUAACCCCCUUAACAGGAGUGUUGAUAUGCGCUUGGUGAAGAUGCUGGUGACUCUGAUCUUGACUGAUUAAGAGAGGUUGGACAAUGCCAACCGGACAGGUGCAAGAGGAAAGGGUAUAGAUAGAAAAGGCAAGUAUAGAUGGAUUAAAGAGAAAAGAGGGGGAACACCAACUACUUAGCUCUAUGGCACUCAGCUAGUAAACUGAUGUCAUUGCGGACCAAUGACCAUAAUACAUCAACACCCAUCACAAAGAGGCAAAUCAGUCAUAACACAAAGACAAACAGCACAAGCAUACAACAACAAACAUCUCGUUGCUAUACGUAACUUUUAAUUAAAUGGUGGUCUUUCCUUAAAAAGGGAAACUACUUUAAGGCCAUCAAAAGCUAAGGGGAAUAAUAAGACAUGGAGGGUAGGGGCAUGAGCAUAAUAAAGGAUGGAGCUAAAGCGAGGAUUGGAAUCGACAAGGGAGAAAAUGCCACCAAGGGCAGGGUAGGUAAACACCAUUCUCAAAUCGAGAUGGGAAAGAUGAUAAUCCCAAAAGGUAGGCGUAAGAUGAGCAUCAUGGAAAGAUCCAGUGAUUACAAAGGUACAUGAGGUAACAAGGAAAAGCACACCAACAGAUCGAGUUAAAACAAGACUUGCAACACGAUAGAGGAAUAGGGAACGAACAAGAGCGGGGAGGGGUAAGACAACACUCUUGAACUGAAACGGGAGAGGGGGCUUUAAAAUACGGAUACAUGAUAGGCAUCAAGGUAAAAAUCGAGGAAUGACAAGGGUUAAGGUGAUAACAGACAAACACUCAUGAAGGGGUGUAUUUCAGACAAAACUUGCAAGGUGUCAAAGAAGGGGGAGCAAUCAAUGGUGAAGUGGGUGAGGCAUUACCCUCGAACAGGGACAGAAAAGAGGAGGCUUUAAAGGGUAGGUUCAAAAGUAAGCAUGUGGGCAAGGGCAUAGGUUUCACGAGGGUUUAAAGGUGAUAACGAACAAGGAUGUAGGAGAGGAGGUAAAUGUGCAUAAGAACCAAGAAUAUGAAUACCACAAAGGAUGGAGUUAAGACUAGACCUGCAAUUGAAAAAUAAGGAGGUACGUCCAAGGGCCAGAUAGGUAAACGACCACUCUCCAAUUGAGGUAGAAGAGAGGAGAUUUUGAAGAGCCAGAAUAAAGAUGAGUAUCAAGGCAAGAUCGAUGGAUGACAAGGGGGUGGUGAUAGCAAAUAAAAACACAACAAGUGAUGUAAUUGGGACAAAACAUGUAAGGCAACAAUGAGUGAAAAGAAAUCAAGGGAGAGGUAGGUAACUCGCAACUCUCAAAUUGGGUUGAAAGAAAGGGGAGGAUUUAAAGGAUAAGUUUAAGGUAAGCAUUUAGGUAGAAGACAUAAAUAUCGCAAGGGCCAAAGGCGAUAACGGACAAAGGUGUCAGAGAAAAGAUAAAGGCAUAGAAGAGCAAGUGGUACAAAUACAAUAACGAAUGGAGUUAAGUCUAGGCCUACACGCGGUAAAGAAGAGGAUAUAGUCAAGGGUAAGAUAAGUAAAACAUAUCUCUCGAAUUGAGAUAGAAAAGAGGGGAUUUCAACAAGCAGACCUAAGAUAAGUAUCAAGGCAAGAUCUACAGAUUACAAAGGUAAGGAUGAUAUCAAACAAAAGCUCAACAAAGGAUGAAGUUAAGGUAAGACAAGACUUGCAAAGCGACAAAGGGAAAGGAAACGAACAAGAGCAGGAUAGGGAAAAUAACACUCUCAGAUUGAAACAGAAUAGGUGAGGCUAAGAAAUAGGUAAACAUCACGAUAAAUGUGGAGAGAGGUCAAGGGUCAAAGGUGAUAAUAGGCAAGGAAAUAAAGGAAGAGGUAAAUGUGAAUAAAAAACCAGGAAUCUAGGUACCACCAAGAAUAGAUUUAAGAUAAGUCUUGCAAGUGGUAAAGUAUAGGAUAUAACCACGGGUGAGAUAAGUAAGAGACCACGCUUGAACUAAGGUGGGAGAUUGGAGGUUUUAGAUAACGAACAUAGCGUAAUCACCAAGGUAAGAUUGAGAGAUGAGAAGGGUAAAGGCAAUAAGAAACAAAAGCACAACAAAGGAUGAGGUUACAAACUCGCGAGCCAAGUAAGAGGAUACGACCAAGAGAAAGAAGAUAUGAGACGGAAGAGGGGUGAUUUUAAAGGGCGAGUAUGAGACAAACAUCAAUGUAGGAUAUAGAGGUGUCAAGGGUGCAUAUGAUAAUAAUUAAAAGUAUAACAAAGGAUAUAGUUAAGGCAAGACUCGCGAAACGACAAAGUGGAGAAAACAAUCAAGGGUAAGAUAGGUAAGGUUCCAACAGAAGGGUCGAAGUAAAGAUUCAUUACCGAGUGGAGUUACAAGGAGACAACAAGAUCAACAAGGAGAUGCAAAGUAGAAUGACCGCUCAUGGAUCAUUAAGAAACAAGGGUGGUCAAGGAUAUGUUAAAUGUCUUGAACAGUCAUUGGGAUAUAAAGGUAGCAUAUAUAAAAAUAAGAGUAUGCAAGAUUCCAAUGAUACAAGCGUACUCAGACAUGGGAAUAGAAAAAGGUAGAGGAUAAUGACUUAACAGCGGAACAUGGAGGGAUCUCGGAAGGCCAGAAGUUCAUGGACAUAUAAACUAGAGUGUUUAAGUAGGCAGGAGAAAUUCAGAUGUAAGGGUUUGAAACAAAAGUACUAAAGAAACUAGGAGUACAAGCAUGUCAAUACUAAGAGGACAAAGAUAGUCAAAGGGUAGCAAUUUAGUGAUGGAAGAGGAGAAAAUCCCAACAGACAAAAAGUUAUGGUCAGGGGGCAUCUUCAAAGAUGUCGCGAGCAUAAGAGUGAGAACAGAACUAAUAUGACCAGCAAAUAAACCAUAAAUAAAUGAAGGAUUAGAAUAUAACACAAUUUUCAGCAAGGUAUAAUAUAUAGUAAAACAUAGGUUUGGUCGAUAUGACCAACUUUUGAAGGGAUAUCAAAGUCAAGGUGAGAAUAAGGGUAUAUAAUCCUUAGAACGACCAUUCUACUCUAGGUUAGCGGUCCUACAGUCAGCACGGCUUUGAUACCACUUAUGUCACACCCGGUUUUAGAAGGCAAACCGAAUGCGAACUAUGUACGUGUCAGGAUCAACAAUUCACGUACACAACAGUUACAUAACUGGACAUCAUCACACAGUGCUCAAAUAAUAACAUAAAAGAGGAAUAAUAGUCGAUUACAUCAUAUGUCUGAGACAUCCACAUAGUCUUUACAAUAAUCAAAGUGCGAAAACGAAACGUAGAUACACACGGCCUUCACAGGCAGCCGACUGGGGGUUACCGCUAACCCACGCCUAGAACUCGUCGUAAUCUUGGAACUCCUGGAAGUCUCCUUCCACGGCUUCAUCUUCUCCUGAGCAGUGGUUGCAAUGCUGACAACCUGGGGAUGGGGGGCGGUUUGGUGUGUAGAGCAAGGGUGAGUACACAUCAACAUACUCAGCAAGUAUCCUGUUUGGCUAUAGUGGACUAGCUUUAUGUGGGGGUAAGUCAAGCAGUUGCUUUUAGUUGGUCAGAUUAUUAUUACUAGUAGAGAAAGCCAAGUUUUAGAUUUAACCCACGUUAUUAACCCAAACGUACUCCUUUCCAAACGGAAAGAGUACCACUUACCAUUACCAGAGUCAAUACCAAGAACCAUCAACCUCAUUGCCACCUGAAAUCCGAACAUAUCUGAUCAAGUAUCUCUAAUCAAUGGAGCUCCCUUGGCCGCUCAUAACCGCGAGCACGGCUGAUAUAUCAGUUUCAUAACACUUUGCAGAGGUUGCGCACUUUACCCACAAGCCGUGAUUCCCUCUUGCCUCGGGCCGAUCAAACCCUUAAACACUACCAAGGUGAAUAGGCAGGGUCUCACUACAUAGCCUUUACAAAGAUUUCCAGGGGCUAUAGCCGCCCGUUAGGUUUCCUAAAUGCACCGCACUCCUCCCCAAGGGGCGAACCAACCUUAGCAGAGCGAGCCGCAUACACCGAGCCCCAUUAACGGCACAACGGCAAAGCGAACUACACCCCAGUUCCUCUAAUUACUCAGCUAAAGGCGUCCCACUCCACCCUCAUGGUUGCACUGUUUUCCCGGGCGGUCAUCCAACGAACAGGUCCUUACGGAGAGGCACUCGAGAAACAGCUCGAGUCCCCUUAAAUGUCACAAGUAUAUCAUCAUAUCCAGAAUAAAAUCAUAGUACCAUCAUUGUAUCUCAUCAUGUUCAUUGAUUAAAGUAAAGCGCUAGCAUGAAGCUAACCAUAGUAACCCAAAAGGUAACCAAGGACAAGGUAAAUAAAAAGCUAGUCAAUCCUUAGGUUGAUCAUGGUAUGCG
RNAcentral lists this long non-coding RNA (8661 nucleotides) under Zea mays. Its description in RNAcentral is "long non-coding RNA (ZMAY_LNC003862)". The record is from RNAcentral. Lineage: Eukaryota; Viridiplantae; Streptophyta; Magnoliopsida; Poales; Poaceae.